Zea mays is the source of this 756-nucleotide long non-coding RNA. RefSeq lists it as uncharacterized. The record is from RefSeq and is a predicted model, not a curated record. The transcript has 3 exons. NCBI's taxonomy places the organism in Eukaryota, Viridiplantae, Streptophyta, Magnoliopsida, Poales, Poaceae.
UAAAAUGAUGUUGUCCAUAUGAUUAAUAAACAUUCUUUUUUUUACCUGAACUAACCUUGCAUGCAUAGACUGAAAUAUGUAUCAGUCUGGUCAUAUGAACCUUUUUGCUUUCUUUAUUUUUUUUACAUUCACGUCCCGAAAAAACUGGUGGAACUCCACAAAUUUAAUCAAUUCUCAACUAAUAGGAUGAACUCCGAAUUUCUGUAAAUAUGAGUUACUCAAGGAGCUAUGAAAAUUAUCACUAAGUGAAACAAUAAUGUCAUUCUCGUACAAACUGAGCUGUUUGAUUCAUGCAACAGGUUGCACAUACUAUCACUUGCUAAGACUUACCAACAAAUAGAUGCCAGAGCAAAGGGCAGAUUUGAUGGUGUGGCCCCAGAACCACGGAAAGGGUAAUAAGUGGGCAUAUAACAGGAAGCAUCUGUGUUCCAUUCCCUGAGAUGUUCAAUGGUGCACCAAGCCUUCUGUCUGCAGAUGAGCUGCGGCAGAAGUUUCAGCAAGCAGGCAGGUCUCCAUUCUGUUGCAACUUGCAACUCAUUUUAAUAAUCAGAAACAAGUAAUUUGUUGUGUUCUUGGCAAGAACGAAAGCAAGAAUUUUUCCAAAGUACAAAUACGAGAAGCAGAGGAAGAAGAAGAAUACUGAUAAUUUAACAUUUCAGAUCUUUGAGAAAUUGAGUAUUUCUCACAGAUAUAUUAUACAUGUACAUAAAUUCUGAAAAGUUUGCCAAGCAAUAACAAUAUGGUGUGUUUGGUGUU